GACGAACGCUGGCGGCGUGCUUAACACAUGCAAGUCGAACGGAAAGGCCUCUUUCGGGGGGUACUCGAGUGGCGAACGGGUGAGUAACACGUGAGUAACCUGCCCUUGACUUUGGGAUAACUUCAGGAAACUGGGGCUAAUACCGGAUAGGAGCUCCUGCUGCAUGGUGGGGGUUGGAAAGUUUCGGCGGUUGGGGAUGGGCUCGCGGCUUAUCAGCUUGUUGGUGGGGUAGUGGCUUACCAAGGCUUUGACGGGUAGCCGGCCUGAGAGGGUGACCGGCCACAUUGGGACUGAGAUACGGCCCAGACUCCUACGGGAGGCAGCGGUGGGGAAUAUUGCACAAUGGGUGGAAGCCUGAUGCAGCAACGCCGUGUGCGGGAUGACGGCCUCCGGGUUGUAAACCGCUUUCGCUCAUGACGAAGCUUUGUGUGACGGUAGUGGGUAAAGAAGCACCGGCUAACUACGUG
This 467-nucleotide ribosomal RNA is filed under the name uncultured bacterium. RNAcentral's name for it is "partial 16S ribosomal RNA". It matches the Rfam family "Bacterial small subunit ribosomal RNA", at positions 28 to 507 of the family's 1533-position model. The record is from RNAcentral.